RNAcentral lists this ribosomal RNA (348 nucleotides) under Bacillus velezensis. RNAcentral's name for it is "bacterial SSU rRNA". It matches the Rfam family "Bacterial small subunit ribosomal RNA", at positions 980 to 1329 of the family's 1533-position model. Lineage: Bacteria; Bacillati; Bacillota; Bacilli; Caryophanales; Bacillaceae. The record is from RNAcentral.
CUUGACAUCCUCUGACAAUCCUAGAGAUAGGACGUCCCCUUCGGGGGCAGAGUGACAGGUGGUGCAUGGUUGUCGUCAGCUCGUGUCGUGAGAUGUUGGGUUAAGUCCCGCAACGAGCGCAACCCUUGAUCUUAGUUGCCAGCAUUCAGUUGGGCACUCUAAGGUGACUGCCGGUGACAAACCGGAGGAAGGUGGGGAUGACGUCAAAUCAUCAUGCCCCUUAUGACCUGGGCUACACACGUGCUACAAUGGGCAGAACAAAGGGCAGCGAAACCGUGAGGUUAAGCCAAUCCCACAAAUCUGUUCUCAGUUCGGAUCGCAGUCUGCAACUCGACUGCGUGAAGCUGG